AGUGAACGCUGGCGGUAGGCCUAACACAUGCAAGUCGAACGGCAGCACAGUAAGAGCUUGCUCUUACGGGUGGCGAGUGGCGGACGGGUGAGGAAUACAUCGGAAUCUACUUUUUCGUGGGGGAUAACGUAGGGAAACUUACGCUAAUACCGCAUACGACCUACGGGUGAAAGCAGGGGAUCUUCGGACCUUGCGCGAUUGAAUGAGCCGAUGUCGGAUUAGCUAGUUGGCGGGGUAAAGGCCCACCAAGGCGACGAUCCGUAGCUGGUCUGAGAGGAUGAUCAGCCACACUGGAACUGGGACACGGUCCAGAGUCCUACGGGAGGCAGCAGUGGGGAAUGUUGGACAAUGGGCGCAAGCCUGAUCCAGCCAUACCGCGUGGGUGAAGAAGGCCUUCGGGUUGUAAAGCCCUUUUGUUGGGAAAGAAAAGCAGCAGGUUAAUACCCCGCUGUUCUGACGGUACCCAAAGAAUAAGCACCGGCUAACUUCGUG
RNAcentral lists this ribosomal RNA (492 nucleotides) under uncultured bacterium. Its description in RNAcentral is "partial 16S ribosomal RNA". It matches the Rfam family "Bacterial small subunit ribosomal RNA", at positions 29 to 507 of the family's 1533-position model. The record is from RNAcentral.